RNAcentral lists this unclassified non-coding RNA (218 nucleotides) under rhizosphere metagenome. RNAcentral's name for it is "partial ribosomal RNA internal transcribed spacer region". The record is from RNAcentral.
GUAGGUGAACCUGCGGAAGGAUCAUUACAGAGUAUCAUGCCCUUCGGGGUAGAUCUCCACCCUUGAAUAACAUACCUUUGUUGCUUUGGCAGGACGCACUCGUGCCAGGGGCUUCGGCUCUUGAGUGCCUGCCAGAGGACCCAAAACCUUGAAUAUUAGUGUCGUCUGAGUAAAAAGUUUAAUAUUUAAAACUUUCAACAACGGAUCUCUUGGCUCUG